CUGGAGCACUUACAGAGGUGCGGAGUUAAAUGAAAGUUCUGAAGGCAGAAGACGUGGGAGGAGUGCACUGAGGCAGGAUGGACAGAACAGUACCAUAGCCCGUGGGUUAGAAGCUCAAGCUUUAGAUAACAGUUUGUUCUUCAUUGGAAAUUCUAAAUGUAAAGUCUGGUAAGCCAACUGGUAGCAGGGCUGCAGAACAGCUGGGCCCUGGGAUUUGGACACGUCUGGCCCUAUCAGGUGCCACCGGCAGCACAGGGACAUCAGCCCCAAUACUGACCACGGGUUCCUUAAGAUCUGCUGCAAAUGAGGGAGAAAAGGAAAGAUGCAAACAACCACGGAAUAUGGAAUUUACAUGCCAACAUAAAAGCCUCGCACUCCCAAGCCUCUCCUGUGCUUCCCAGUAGCCAAAAAGAAAAAGGAAGAGUGCAAACAGUUAAAGACCUGGUGCUUCAUAACACGCCGGGGGGACAGUUCCUACUCUUACCUAUUUGAACCACAGCUGUCUAAACUCACUGCUCGUCCACUUGGUGUGUUCACAUGGAAGCAACUGACAGUGCCCACCGGGAGGACGUGAGCCCAUCUCCGUGCCGGUUGGUUACACUACGUCCCGGGGCUACCGAGUAUCACCCUGUGCAGCGACAGUUUCACCCAUUAGUAUGGAGCCAGCUAUACACACUGCAUAUGUACA
Molecule: long non-coding RNA, 688 nt
Filed under: Gallus gallus (chicken)
Lineage: Eukaryota; Metazoa; Chordata; Aves; Galliformes; Phasianidae
Description: long non-coding RNA NONGGAT009098
Source: RNAcentral